UACGGAGGGAGCUAGCGUUGUUCGGAAUUACUGGGCGUAAAGCGCACGUAGGCGGCGACUCAAGUCAGAGGUGAAAGCCCCGGGGGCUCAACCCCGGAACUGCCUUUGAAACUAGGUUGCUAGAAUCUUGGAGAGGCGAGUGGAAUUCCGAGUGUAGAGGUGAAAUUCGUAGAUAUUCGGAAGAACACCAGUGGCGAAGGCGACUCGCUGGACAAGUAUUGACGCUGAGGUGCGAAAGCGUGGGGAGCAAACAGG
Molecule: ribosomal RNA, 255 nt
Filed under: uncultured bacterium
Lineage: Bacteria
Description: partial 16S ribosomal RNA
Rfam family: Bacterial small subunit ribosomal RNA
Source: RNAcentral